GGGUCGAUGUCCGAGUGGUUAAAGGAGGCGGUCUGUAAAAUCGUCGCGUGAGCUACGCAGGUUCGAAUCCUGCUCGGCCCA
Molecule: transfer RNA, 81 nt
Filed under: Armatimonas rosea
Lineage: Bacteria; Bacillati; Armatimonadota; Armatimonadia; Armatimonadales; Armatimonadaceae
Rfam family: tRNA
About the family: Transfer RNA (tRNA) molecules are approximately 80 nucleotides in length.
Source: Rfam by way of RNAcentral